This 493-nucleotide ribosomal RNA is filed under the name uncultured bacterium. Its description in RNAcentral is "partial 16S ribosomal RNA". It matches the Rfam family "Bacterial small subunit ribosomal RNA", at positions 29 to 507 of the family's 1533-position model. The record is from RNAcentral.
ACGCACGCUGGCGGCGUGCUUCACACAUGCAAGUCGAACGGUGAAGCGCCUUCCUUUUUGGUGGGUGUGGAUGAGUGGCGAACGGGUGAGUAACACGUGAGUAACCUGCCCCCUUCUUCUGGAUAACCGCAUGAAAGUGUGGCUAAUACGGGAUAUUCUGGGUCUGUCGCAUGAUGGGUCUGGGAAAGAUAUUGUUUCGGUGGGGGAUGGGCUCGCGGCCUAUCAGCUUGUUGGUGGGGUGAUGGCCUACCAAGGCGGUGACGGGUAGCCGGCCUGAGAGGGUGGACGGUCACACUGGGACUGAGACACGGCCCAGACUCCUACGGGAGGCAGCAGUGGGGAAUAGUGCACAAUGGGCGCAAGCCUGAUGCAGCGACGCCGCGUGAGGGAUGGAGGCCUGCGGGUUGUGAACCUCUUUCGCCAGUGAAGCAGGACUGCCUCGUUUGUGGGUGGGUUGACGGUAGCUGGAGAAGAAGCGCCGGCUAACUACGUG